This 22438-nucleotide long non-coding RNA is filed under the name Gossypium barbadense (sea-island cotton). Its description in RNAcentral is "long non-coding RNA (GBAR_LNC005700)". Lineage: Eukaryota; Viridiplantae; Streptophyta; Magnoliopsida; Malvales; Malvaceae. The record is from RNAcentral.
UGGAAGACACGCUUAAUGUCUCUUCUUACAAUCACCAUCACCAUGAGGAUGCCUCCGCCGCCUUGGAUAUGGAACCCCACCAACACUACUUGCUUGAUAAUACUACCAACAGUCAUUCCCAUUUGAUUCCCUAUCUAACUCAGGACCUUCCUUAUGAUCAGUCCCAUUGGGAAAGUUUCAAUGUGCUGCCAUCUUCUUCAUCCCCAGAAGCCGCUGCUGCUGCCGCCGCCGCCGCCGCCGCCGGUGCUUACACUCCUACACCUGACCUUCUCAGCCUUUUCCAUUUACCUAGAUGCUCUUUCCUCCCUAAUCCCUCCAUUUCCUUUGAAACCACACCUGGCUCCCCUUCUGUUGUGUACGACCCACUUUUCCAUCUCAACCUGCCUCCUCAACCUCCUGUUUUCAGGGAGCUGCUGCAGUCUCUGCCGCAUGGCUACACCGUUCCAGCUGAUGACAAAGAUGCCGCUGGGGUUGGAGGACUUUAUCAUGAUGGGGACAAUGGCAUAAUUCAGUUCACCAGGGACAUCUCUAUGGCAGGCCGUGCCAAAGACAGGGAUAAAGCUGGCAAAACUACCAAACACUUUGCCACUGAGAGAGAAAGGAGAGUCCAUCUAAAUGACAAGUACCAGGCUUUAAGGACAAUGGUCCCUAGUCCCACCAAGGUACAUAACCAACCACUUCAUCCUUAAACAGCCUGUUUCUUUUAUGAUAAUUGCACUAAUAAUGUUUCAUUCUUUUGGUGUUUGUUAUCAUGUUUCUUUGGUGGUGGGGGAAACAUAAAUUUCAUUGCCUAUAACCAAGAAUGAUAGAGCAUCCAUAGUUGGAGAUGCUAUAGACUACAUCAAGGAACUUCUUGGAACUGUUCGUGAGCUUCAAAUACUGGUGGACAAAAAGAGAUGCGGCCAAGAAAGGAGCAAAAGGCUUAAGACUGAAGAUGCGGCUAGUGCUGCUGAUGCAGGGGAUGUUGAGAUCAAGUCUUUAGGUGAUCCAGAACAAUGCUAUAAUACUUCCUUGAGGAGUUCUUGGCUUCAAAGGAAAUCUAAGGAUUCUGAGGUUGAUGUACGCAUCGUUGAUGAUGAAGUUACCAUCAAACUUGUUCAAAGAAAGAAGAUCAAUUGCUUGCUGUUUGUGUCCAGACUCCUUGAUGAGCUUCAGUUGGACCUCCUACAUGUUGCUGGUGGCAACAUUGGUGACUAUUACAGCUUUCUCUUCAACACCAAGGUAAACAUCUCCCUUACACAUACAUAUUGUUUUAUCCAGCAUAUGUAUGUAUGACAAUUUUGAGUAUAUUUUUGUUGAAAUGGUCAUAAUUCCAUCGCUCCUGUCCUCGAUGCAGAUAUACGAAGGCUCUUCGGUUUAUGCUUGUGCCAUAGCCAACAAGCUCAUCGAUGUCGUGGAUAAACAGUAUGCAGCUGCUCCACCAACUAGUAGUACUUCUCUCUAGUUUAGCAGUGAUAGAAGGGGUUUCAUUUUUUAUGUUUCUGUUUCAAUGGAAAUGAACAGCUUCGGUUGUUGAGUUAUCAAGCAUUUCUUUGAAUAGUACUGUUAAUCAAGGAUUCCAUGAUGCUACUUUAUUUUCAAGUUAUUGAUAUAUAGAUGCACUAGAUAUGGUUUUUUAUUUCGGUACAGUCUAACUGUUCAUUAUUGCUUUAGUUUUAUAUAUAUACCACCAGCAGGGGUUAGAAAUUAAGAGAAAGAAACAAAAACAAUUUGACAAACUGUGAUCCUCCAUUGAUUUUCCUGGUGAUAGCAACCCACAGUUUUAGUGGUUAAAGAAAAAGGAGAAAUUUCUAUAGGAACAAUAUUCCAAAGUGAGGUAUGUUUAAUCGUUACUGUUUCUAAGAAGGCUCUCUUUGUUUCCACAUUCUGAAUUGCUUUGAAAUGCCAAAACAGUCGAUUCUUUCACUUUCAGUGGUGAAAUGGAUGUUGAGGAAUGAUGGGCCAUAUUUCUGAAUUUGCUGAAUGACUGAUUUUCACUUGACUUAGGUAGGUCUCUCUUCUCUUCUAAGGAUGUGAAUGUUCCACUCAUAAUAUAUGUAAUAUAUGUGUCGAAACACCUUUUUUGAAAGGUUGACUUUAUAUUUUAAAAAUGGAAAUAAGAGUGGCCACCAAUCUUUUUUUUUUAUUUAGGUGUAACUAGAUCACUUUGUAAUUCAAUCAUUUUAAUAAAAGUUUAAAUUUAUUAAAAUGAUGAUUUUUGGUCUACAAAAUUUAGAAGACGAGUUCGUGAGUCGGUUAAGCACGAGUUAGGAUUAGCACCCUCAAUACGCCUAAAAUUGGUACCUAGUUGAUUACUUGGCGUCUUUAGUGUCUAAAAUUAAAAAUAAGAGAUUUAAGAUACGAUCUUUUAUUAUUUAACACGAAAAUGGCUUUAUUUUGAGUUAAUCGAGAAAAAGUAUCACAUCCCGUAAGUUAAGACACAAUGCCUUAAAUUCUCAAAACGAGAAUAAACAUGGUAAAAAAUUUACUUUUUUUUUUAAUAUUUAAUUAUCUCAGUUUUAGAAAAAAGCCAUAUUUCGUAAGUUAGGAACACGACUUUUCUUAAUUCCCGAAAAUAUUUUAAUUAAGAUCUCAUAUGCUUUAAAAAAAUAUUCGGUUGUCUUGGUUUAAAGAGAAAGUCGAAUCCCGUAAGUUAGGGCACGACUUCUUGGAUUUCCAAAUACGGAACAUUGACUUAAUUUUGAAAAUUUCCUUUUUAUGUAUCAGGUAAAAAUUAAUGUGACAUGAAUUGGUUAUAAUAAUGGUAAUAAUAUUAAUAAUCAAAUCGCAAUAAUAAGAUAAAUAAAGUAACUUAAAAUAAAAAUGAAAAUAGAAAAUGAAGAAUUUAAAAAAGAUAAAUAAACAUAACAUGAAGAUAUUAGAAAUAAUAAAAGAAAUAAUAAAACAACAACAACAACAACAACAACAAAAACAUUAGAAUUAAAAUAAUAACAACAAUAAUAAAAAUGCAUAAUUAAAAAAAGAGUAUGAAUAAUCUAUUUUUUUAAUGUAAAAGGAAGAAGAAAUAAUAAUAAAUAAAAUAAAAAGUUUGUGGAAAGGUUGAAAUAAAACAGAUUUAAGGAUUAAAUCGAGAUUAAAGUGAACUUAAAAGCAGAAUUUUAAAUAAUAAAAUAUAAAAAUGUAAAAGUAUUUUAAAAAAUAAAAUAAAAUAAAAUAAGGACUGAAAUUGAAAGGCAAACAAAAUUUUAGGGGAGGAAUCGAGAAUUAAAAUAAGGUGAAGGACCUAAUUGUAAUGCACUAAUAAAAAGGAGGGACCAAAAAUGGAAAAUAUUCUCUGUCUUUCAAAACGCACAAUUCCAAUAUGGACUAAAAUGAAACAAUGCAAAAAUCACAGGGUAAAAUUAAAAAGAAAAAAAAAAGAACAGAAUUAAAUUGAAAAUGGGCAAAAAAGCGGAAGGACCGACAGCACAAAUAACCCCAGCGCUAGAAAACAUGCUGAUAUUAGCCGUGCAGGUCGGGUCUUGGGUUGGUCCCAAAACGACGCCGUUUUGGUAUUAAAGGGCCUAAGUGAAACAACGUCAUUUUACAACUGCUAUUUAAAUCAAAGUUUUUUCAAAAUUUUCACUUUAACCUUGUUUUAGAGAAAAAAACUCUAAAAGCUCUCUCCCCUUUCUCUCAAAGCCACUAGGUCUAGUCAUCAAACACCACCGUGGCUCCGCCACGGCCAUCGGCCAUUGGUGGCCGCCAUCCAUGGUGGCCGGAGUUCACCAAAAACCCCUGUUUUAAGCGCUCCGAAGUGUAAAGCCUAGAUCUGAGCUAUUUUUCACAAAAACUCAACCAAAAAGAGAAAAACUCAAAAGAAUCCCUUUGGUUUCUCUUCUAUUUUACCGAAGAGAACUGUCCAUCAUCAAGAACGAUGACCUCCUCCACUCGUACAGUAGGAUUCAAAACGUACUAGUAAGUUUUCUUCUUCUUCUUUUUUUGUAUUUUUAUGCCUAAAAAAAUAAAGAAACAAAUCACCUCUUGAAAAUAUGAUCAAUUCUUCUCUGUAUUUAUUUGUAUCUUUUUGUCCAUAUUACAAUUUGGUGAAGGCUUUUAUAGCCAGUUUACAACUGUUUAGCCACUAUUUUCUGUCUGUUUCCUUUGCUCUAUUUUUUGUCUGUUUUCUUUACAGGUACCGGAGUUAACGAAGGUAGAAUUUUCCAUUCUUGUGCAAUAAGGCAGUCCUUGGGCAGUGGGCACACUGACGGAGACACGUGGAGUGCGGCGCCCGUUAGGCUUUUUUGAAAAUGUUUAAACAUUUUGGGCCACUAGGCCUUCAAUUUUUUUGGGUUGUAAUUUUACUUAUUUUUUGGGCUUGUAAUUUGUAAUUGGGCAUUUAAGAUUUGGACAUUUUUGGUUUAUUUUCUGUUUUGGUUUUUUGGCGGGCCGGGUAAAUUUGGGCUUUUACAGCUGCCCCUUUUUGCUCAUUGUCGUGUAAAGGGAAUGAAGCAAAGAAAAAAAAGGCCAAAUUUUCCUAGUCUUGCAGGGUCUCGACCUUUUUGGCGCUUCUCUUUUUCAAGCAACUCCAUUCUAACUCACUGCCACUUCAGAUGUAUAAGAUUUGUUGCUUCAAUCUUCAAUCUACUCCACUGCAACUUCAGACAGAUAAGAUCUAUAACUUCAAUCUACUCCUUUGUAACUUCAGAAAGAUAAGGUUUGUGGCUUUUAUUUGCUCUAAUGCAACUUAAAGGAGAUAAGAUUCGUCAUAAUGACUUCAAUCCAUCCCAUUACAAUUUCAGGGGUAUAAGAUUUAUGGUUCAAUCUACUCCACUGCAACUUCAGGGAGAUAAGAUUUGUUAUUUUUAACCUGCUCUACCGCAGCUUCAGGGAUAUAAGGUUUGUGACUUCAAUCUACUCUACUGCAACUUCAGGAAGAUAAGAUUCGCCAUAAUAACUUCAAUUCAUCCCACUGCAACUUCAGGGGUAUGGGAUUUGUAACUUUAAUCUACUCUACUACAACUUCAGAGAGAUAAGAUUUGUUAUUUUUAACUUGCUCCACUGCAACUUCAAUAAGAUAAGAUUUAUAACUUCAAUCUGCUCCGCUGCAACUUCAGGGAGAUAAGAUUUGUAAUUUGUAGCUUUAAUUUGUUCCACUGCAACUUCAGGGAAAUAAGAUUCACUAUCUUCAGUCUGCUCCACUACAACUUUAGAGAGAUAAGACUUGCAACUUCAGCCUGCUCCACUACCUUCAGGGAGAUAAGGUUUAUAGCUUUAAUUUGCUCUACUACAACUUCAGAGAGAUAAGAUUUGCUAUCUUCGAUCUACUCCACUUCAACUUCAAGGAGAUAAGAUCUAUAACUUCAAUCUGCUCCACUGCAACUUCAGGGAGAUAAGAUUUGCCAUGAUAACUAUAAUCCGUCCCACUGUAACUUCAGGGGUAUAAAAUUUGUGGUUCCACUGAUUUGUUACACCAUUCUCUAGGAAACAUGACCUAUAGAAUCUAUUUCAUGGGCCUAUUUAUGCCUGGUGAUUAGGAUGUCAUUAUCAGAAUGAAUCAAAUGCUCCUAACUAGAUGUGUAUGAACGUUAUUUGCAUGAAUGAAAAAUGUCAUUUUUCUAGAAUAAUCCCUUUUUAAUGCUUAGGUUAACACUGCUCGUUGUUCACUAAGGUUCUAUCACUAACGUAUUACCCUGCCCUCUUGUUCAGUUGGUAUUUUUGACAGAGAACCCGAAGAAAUAAUCACAAUUUAGACUAUUAUUUCUCAAAUGUUUCCAACCCUUAAGUUUAGUUAGUUCUGAAUAGUGUUUUUGUUUUCAUAUCUUUGUACUAUUUAGAAAACUUUUCAGAGCAAUAUGCAGAACUCCUUUUUCUUGAAUAUUAUUAGUCCAUUAAUCAUUAUUUCAAUAAAAUAUGCUUGAAAAAGAUUAUCACAAUGGACAAAAGGAAUUUUAUUGAGAGCAAAGCUUGAAAUGGAUAAAUUAAUCAAAGAUAGCAAAACAUUUCUAGAAUACAAAAUGAAUAAGAUGAAAAUAAGUGCCCCAGAUAUCAUAGCAUGAGCUUUUUCGCACUAACUGCUCGAGGACUCUUUUGAACUUAAUAUAUGUUUCAGAGAUCCAAAAUACUUUGUUUAUGCACCAAGACAUAGCAUCCCUCCUCCUUGUUAAUUCGGGGAUAACAAGACUACCAUAUGCCCCAACUUUGAUCAAAAUUUGAAUUGCCCUUUUUUGCAUUUUCAACUCAAAAUCCCUUUAGUCUUAAGGCGCCCUUUGCGGGCUUUCGCCUUGGCCUCUUACCCCCUUUUUUUUAGGUAAAGUACUUUUUGACUAAAUCUAAAUUCACAGGAUUGGGCAAGCUUUUACCAUUUAUCUCAAUCAAAAUCAACGCUCCUCUAGAAAAGGCAUUCUUUAUCACAUAAGGUUCUUCCCAGUUUGGCAUCCACUUUCCUCUGAAAUCCUUUUGUAUGGGCAGGAUCUUUUUCAAUACUAGAUCCCCCUCAUAGAAUUAUUUGGGAAGAACCUUUUUGUUUUACACUCGCAUUAUUCACUUCUGGUACAUCUGACCAUGACGGAUGGUUUUCAACCUUUUUUCUCUAAUCAAGUUUAGUUGAUCAUAUCGGGAUUGGAUCCAUUCUACUGUAUCUAACUUCAAUUCUACCAAAAUUCAGAGAGAAGGAAUCUUGACUUCAAUGGGUAAAACCACCUCUAUUCUAUAAACCAAAGAGAAAGGCGUUGCCCCGGUUGAGGUUCUAAUAAGCAUAGAGGGCAAAUGAUAACUUCUCAUACCAAUCUUUAUAAGUCUUAGUCAUUUUUCCCACGAUCUUCUUAAUAUUCUUAUUCGCUGUCUCCACUGCACCAUUCAUUUUUAGGCGAUAUGGUGACAAGUUGUGGUGUUUGAUCUUAAAUUGGCUACAGACCUCCGCUAUCGUGCUAUUUUUCAAAUUCAAUGCAUUGUCAGAUAUAAUCUUUUCUGGCAUUUCAUAUCGACGUAUGAUCUCUUUUUUCAAGAAUUUGCUAACUUUCGACUUUGUGAUGUUGGCAGAAGAAGUGGCCUCUUCCCACUUGGUAAAGUAAUCAAUGACCAUGAAGAUGAAUCGGUGCCCAUUAGAAGCUUUUGGUGAUAUCGGCCCAAUGACAUCGAUGCCCCACAUGGAGAAAGGCCGUGGAGAAGUCAUGACAUGAAGAGGUGAGGGAGGUACAUGAAUUUUAUCUCCAUAAAUUUGACACUUAUGACAUUUCUUGGCAUAACUGAUACAAUUCUCUUCCAUGGUGGACCAAAAAUAUCUAAAUCUCAUUAUCUGCCUAGCUAUUGUAAAACCAUUAGCAUGUGUUCCGCAAACACCUUCGUGGACUUCUUCCAAGAUUCUCUUAGCCUCAACAACGUCUACACAUCUUAGUAACACCUGAUCCUUUCUCCUUUUAUAUAGGAUCUCUCCAUAUAAGACAUAGUCACUGGCCAGUCUUCUCAAUGUCCUUUUAUCAUUCUCAGUUACUUGGUCAGGGUAUUCAUGAUUCUUCACAUAUCGUAGUAUAUCGUGGUACCAAGGGUGAUCGUCCUCUUCUUUUUCUUCUUUGAUAUUGUAACAAUGAGCCGGAGUCUCAUAAAUACUCAUUUGAAUAGGCUUUACAUCCUCUUGUUUGUUCACUUUGACCAUCAAAGCUAAGGUAGCCAAAGCUUCAGCCAUCUGAUUUUCAUCUCGUGGAAGAUAGCAGAAGGUGAUGUCAUCAAACUUUUCAAUUAGCUCCAGAACUAGCCUUCGAUAAUUGAUCAACUUGGGAUCUCUCGUCUCCUAUUCACCUUUGAGUUGAUAAAUCACUAGUGCAGAAUCUCCAUAUACCUCUAGCACUUUGAUAUUACGUUCUAUGGCUACACGGAUGCCCAUAAUGCAUGCUUCGUAUUCUGCCAUAUUAUUCGCGCAGUCAAAAUCCAAUUUACUAGUGAAUGGAUAAUGAUCUCCGUUUAGGGAUACCAGGACUGCCCCAAUUCUAUUACCCACAACAUUUAAGGCUUCAUCAGAGUUUAGCUUUUAAGGAUGACCUUCUUGAGAAUCUUCUUCAGUGGUUGCCAUAUACAUUAGAUCUUUAUUCAGGAAAUCAAAGUUCAAAGGCUUGUAAUCUUCUAGAGCUCUGCUGGCUAGAAAAUCUGUUAUUGCGCUCCCUUUUAUAGCCUUUUGAUUUACAUAGGCUGUAUCAAAUUCGAAAAGCAGAAUUUUCCACCGAGCCAUUCUUCCAUUCAAAGCAGUCAACUCCAUCAUCUACUUUAGAGGAUCGAGUUUUGAGAUGAGCCAAGUUGUGUGGUACAACAUAUACUGUUUCAGUCUUCGAGUUGUCCAGAUCAAGACGCAACACAACUUCUUGAUUGGCGAAUAUCUUAUCUGACAUUCAGUGAAUUUUUUACUGAUAUAGUAUAUUGCUCUUUCUUUUCUUCCUGACUCAUCAUGUUGACCAAGCACGCAUCCCAUAGAAUUCCUGAAUACUACCAAGUACAAUAUCAGCGGCCUAUCUAGGCCAGAGGCAUCAGUACUGGGGCAUUAGACAGGUAAUGUUUGACCUUAUCGAAAGUCUUCUAACACUCCUCAUCCCAAACGUGUGGAUUAUGUUUCUUAAGGAGACGAAAAAUGGGGUCGCAUUUCUCAGUUAGUUAUGAAAUGAACUAGGAGAUGUAAUUUAGUUUUCCUAAGAAACUUCACACUUAUUUUUGAGAGCGUGGUGCAGGCAACUCCUAUAUAGCAUUUACUUUAUCUGGGUCAAUUUCGAUCCCCUUUUCAUUAACUUCAAAUCCUAACAAUUUUCCUGACCUAGCCCUGAAAGUACAUUUUGCUGGAUUAAGCUUCAAUUGGAAUUUUCUCAUUCUUAAGUACAAUUUCCUCAAGACUUGUACAUGCUCCUUCUCUGUUCGGGACUUUGCUAUCAUAUCAUCGAUAUAAACUUUGAUUUUUUUGUGCAUCAAGUCAUGAAACAAGGUUACCACAACUCUUUGGUACAUUGCUCCAACGUUUUUCGGUCCAAAUAGCAUAACUUUAUAGCAAAAUGCUCAUCACAUAGUUACGAAUGUCAUCUUUUCCAUAUCUUUAGGAUGCAUCUUAAUCUGGUUGUAUCCAGAAAAACCAUCCAUGAAGGAGAACAGUGAGUAACAUGCCGUAUUGUCUACUAAGGUAUCGAAAUUAGGAAACGAGAAAUUAUCUUUCGGGCUGGCUUUGUUUAAAUCCCUGUAGUCUACACACAUCCAUACUUUCCUAUCUUUUUUAGGGACGAGGACAAUAUUGGCUACCCAUUCUGGGUAUUUAAUCACUUGUAAGAAACCAGCGUCGAAUUGCUUAUUGACCUUUUCUUUUAUUUUCAGCAAGACGUCGGACCUCAUCCUUCGGAGCUUCUGUUGAACUGGCUUACACUCUUCCUUUAUGGGGAGCUGGUGUACCAUGAUAUCAGUACUUAGACCAGGCAUGUCUUAAUACGACCAUGCGAAGAUAUUUUUGAAUUCUUAGAGUACUCAACGAGAUCUUUCCUUGUACCUGUAGUGAUGCAAGUUUCGAUUUUCACCUAUUUUUUUCUUGUUCAUCUCCUAAGCUCACAAUUUCCACUGACUCCUUGUGAGGUAGGAUCUAUUUCUCCUCUUGUUCUAUCAUCCUUAACAAAUCAGGAGAUAGGUUACAAUCUCGAUCACCUUCAGAGUCCUGAGGUUCCUCUAAACACAUAUCUUGCUUAAAAAUGAGAUUCUAAGUCAGUAGCAGUGUCGUUCAUAUCAUUGAUAUCUGGAGACCUGUUAUAGGAACGAAUGAAGACCCAAAGAACAAAUAAAUUUAAGGAUAGUUAUCAGUGUGGUAUGAGUAAUGAAUGAAAUGGAAAGAACAAAAGAAUGUUUGCCAAAAUGAGACACAAAUAUGCAUUUUAUUGAAAAAAAAAUAAUGGACAUGUGCCUUUUUCACAAAAGGAUUCCUGUUGCUCUUAGGCUUAGAGUAGUAGGUAUGUUCUGAAUAUUACUUUGAAAUGGUCCUAAAUCUAGUUGUUCAAACACUUCUAGGGAUGUAGGAACAAAUUCCUGAUAGCUUUUUUAGUUUCCUUUCUAAACCCUCGAUAUUUUCAAAGAAUUCCAACCCUUUAUUAUCCAUCAGGCUUUGUACUCGAGUUUUGAACUCGACGCACUUUUGGAUUUGAUGAAAUUUAUUACAUACAAUGAAAUGUAAUGUUAAUGAAUGGAAAAGAUGCAUGCAAAAAGGCGUUGAUUCUAGUUCAAUUCUAUUAGAACAACUUCACUAGAAAACAAGUUUCUUUACAUAAAGCGGAUACAUACACGGUCUCAUUUUCACACUUAAAACCUUAACUUUCCCAAGAAAUAAGGCCAAUUCUCGGCCUCGAUCCGACUCCAGUUCAUAUUUCAGGCUUUGAACUGGGGUCUGCAAGUAGUCAGCCACUUCUGUAAUCAGACCAAAGCGUCACUCAUAACAUGGUCUAUAUCUCUGACCUGCCCCUCUCACAAGCUGUCACAUUUCUCUUGUUGCCUUUUCUCGGACCAUAUUUGUGAGGCCGUGUUAUUUUCCACUUUAUCAAGAAGCUCGUUUUCCAUGACAAGCUCUCUAUUUAGCAACUGAACGUGAAUCAACACCCUUUUCUAUGAUGAAAAUGCAAUGCAAUCACAAUCAAAACAAAAUGAAACAAGUCAGUAUACUUCAUACAAAGCUAGAAUUUUAAGCAAGCAAGAAGUAAUAAACAGAGUACCUAUUCGGGUGACCACUUCGGAUUUGGUGUAAUUCUACCUAGAGUAAGUUAUUAGGGCUCAUUAUAUGCGGUUCGGUUCAAAAGUAAGGGUACCUGAACCAGUAGAUUCCUCGAUCCUCACCCAUUAUAGGCUUAUACGGACCGAGUUCAGUUCAGGGGAAUACAUUUCCUUAUGGUUAUACGGAGAUGAAAAUCUCACAAAGACAUAGGUACGGAUGGAUCUCGAAAGCGAUCUACUAUCCUAAACGAAGGUGAAGACCUCAUGAAGGAAUAGUUUCUCACUCCCACUUAAAAGGGUAUAACCAACCGGUUAUGAAAUGCAAAAUGCGAAAGUAUAUCCAAAGACUCGAACCAAUAAAGCAAAUAUAUCAAAAUGAUGCAGACCAAUGAAAUGCAACAAAAGGGUCGUAAAUUUAAACCAGGUUAUCAAUUUUCGACAAAAAAGACAAGAAGUAACCAAUUUGUGGCUUGACUCUCUUAUUUUUCCUUAGUGGAGUCGCCAACCUAUCGAAACACCUUUUUUAAAAGGUCGACUUUAUAUUUUAAAAAUGGAAAUGGGGUCGCCACCAAUCUUUUUUUAUUUAGGUGUGACCGGAUCACCUCGUAAUUCAAUCAUUUUAAUAAAAGUUUAAAUUUACUAAAUGAUGAUUUUUGGUCUACAAAAUCUAGAAGACGAGUUCGGGAGUCUAUUAUGAAUGAUGAAGGAUUAGCACACUCGAUACGCCCAAAAUUGGUACCUAGUUGAUUACUUGGCAUCUUUAGUGUCGAAAAUUGAAAAUUUGAAGAGAUUUAAGAUACGAUCUUUUAUUAUUUAACACGAAAAUGUCUUCAUUUUUAGUUAAUUGAGAAAAAGGAUCAUAUCUCGUAAGUUAGGACACAAUGCCUUAAAUUCUCAAAACGAGAAUAAACAUGGAAAAAAAUUACUUUUUUUAAAAUAUUCAAUUAUCUCGGUUUUAGAAAGAAGCCAUAUUCCGUAAGUUAGGAACACUACUUUUCUUAAUUCUCGAAAAUAUGCUUUAAAAAAAUAUUCAGUUGUCUUGAUUCAAAGAGAAAGUCGAAUCCCGUAAGUUAGGGCACGACUUCUUAGAUUUCCAAAUAUGGAACAUUGCCUUAAUUUUGAAAAUUUCCUUUUUAUGUAUCAAGUAAAAAUUAAUGUGACAUGAAUUGAUUAUAAUAAUGGUAAUAAUAUUAAUAAUCAAAUCGCAAUAAUAAGAUAAAUAAAGUAACUUAAAAUAAAAAUGAAAAUAGAAAAUGUAGAAUUUAAAAAAGAUAAAUAAACAUAACAUGAAGAUAUUAGAAAUAAUAAAAGAAAUAAUAAAACAACAAGAACAACAAAAACAUUAGAAUUAAAAUAAUAACAACAAUAAUAAAAAUGCAUAAUUAAAAAAAAGUAUGAAUAAUCUAUUUUUUUUAAUGUAAAAGGAAGAAGAAAUAAUAAUAAAUAAAAUAAAAAGUUUGUGGAAAGGUUGAAAUAAAAUAGAUUUAAGGAUUAAAUCAAGAUUAAAGUGAACUUAAAAGCAAAAUUUUAAAUAAUAAAAUAUAAAAAUGUAAAAUUAUUUUAAAAAAUAAAAUAAAAUAAAAUAAGGACUGAAAUUGAAAGCCAAACAAAAUUUUAGGGGAGGAAUAGGUGAAGGACCUCAUCGUAAUGCACUAAUAAAAAGGAAGGACCAAAAUGGAAAAUAUUCCCUGUCUUUCAAAACGCACAGUUCCAAUAAGGACUAAAAUGAAACAAUGCAAAAAUCACAGGGUAAAAUUAAAAAGCAAAAAAAAACAUGAUUAAAUUGAAAAUGGGCAAAAAAGUGGAAGGGCCGACCAUACAAAUAACCCCAUAAGCUAGAAAACACGCGGAUACUAGCCAUGCGGAUCAGGUCUCGGGUCUGCCCCCAAAACAACGCCGUUUUGGCGUUAAAGGGCCUAAGUAAAACGGCAUCGUUUCACAACUGCUAUUUAAAUCAAAGUUUUUUUUUUAAAUUUUCAUUUUAACCUUGUUUAAAAAAAAACUCUAAAAGUUCAUUCCCCUUUCUCUCAAAGCCACUAGGUUCAGUCAUCAAACACCGCUGUGGCCACCGGCCGUCGGAGAUGGUGGCCGCCGUGGAGUUCACCAAAAACCCCCAUUUUGAGUGCUCCAACACGUAAAGCCCGGAUCUGGGGUUGUUUUUCGCAAAAACUCAACCAAAAAGAGAAAAAUCCAAAAGAAUCCCUUUGGUUUCUCUUUCGUUUUACCAAAGAGAACCGUCCAUCAUCGGGAACGAUGACCUCUUCCACUCGUAGCGGUGGGAUUCAGAACAUACUAGUAAGUUUUCUUCUUCUUUUUUGUAUUUUUAUGCCUAAAAAAUAAAAAUAAAAAAUAAAGAAACAAAUCACCUCUUGAAAAUAUGAUCAAUUUCUUCUCUGUAUUUUUUUGUAUCUUUUUGUCCAUAUUACAAUUUGGUGAAGGCUUUUAUAGCCAGUUUACAACUGUUUAGCCACUAUUUUCUGUUUGUUUCCUUUGCUCUGUUUUCUGUCUAUUUUCUUUGCAGGUACUAGGGUCAGCGGAGGCAGAUUUUGUCAUUCUGGUGCAAAGAGGUAGUCCUCGGGCUGUGGGCACGUUGACGGAGACGCGUGGAGUGCGGAGACCAAAAAGGAGCUAGGGUUAGGCUUUUUCGAAAAUGUUUAAACAUUUUGGGUCACUGGGACUUCAAUUUUUUUGGGUUGUAAUUUUAAUUAUUUUUUAGGCUUGUAAUUUGUAACUGGACAUUUAAGAUUUGGACUUUUUUUGUUUAUUUUCUAUUUUGGUUUUUUGGCGGGCCAGGCAAAUUUGGGCCUUUACAGUAUGCAUACAUAAUAUUUUCUUAAGUACGUCUCUCUGGCCCUUCUUUUGCUUAAUUUCGGAUUAUCAAACCACAAAUACUCUGAGAUGAGCUCAUAGGAUGGCCUUGUUACAUUCUUGGUACGGGUGAAUGCAAUUAGACAAUACAUGAAACUAAAUUCAUUCAUUCAAUUGUUUACGUAGCAUCUAGUGUUCAAAACCAACACAACAACUAGGAAAGGUGGUAAGUAAUAUGAUAUUUCUUAUCUUAAAUUAUAUUAUUUAUAUGUAUAUUUAAUUUAUUAUUGAUUUUGGUCAUAACUUGAGUUACGGACUUCCGUGUUGGACUUAUGAUAUACUGAUUCGAAGAAAAUUAAAAGAUCUAUCUAAAGUUAUUUUUACAGAAGAAGACGUUUAAAAAUGGUCUGAAAGUUUAAGGCGAAAAUAACUAAAAAACCUUAAAAAAAAACUCUACUUUAUUAAGGACACUUUUGUAUUUUCUACAUUAUAUGAUUUUGUUUUCAUUAUUUUAUGGUCUGGAAAUAAAUAACCAGGAUACUUUGGUCAAAAAUACCAACAAAUAAGAUAAAUGUUAUCAUAUUACCAGCUAUGUCUGUAGUUACUGUUGGCAUCGUAAUUGAUAGUUAAAACUGCCAUUAACAAAUAUAACUUAAUUUGUAAAAAGAAUAAUUUUUUAAGUCAUUUCUUGACUUAAUUAUUACCUGAUUAACUCAUAAUACUAAGUUAAUUAGAGAUCUCAUUACACCAAUUGAAUUAAAAUAAAACAAACAACUAAAUUUAUAUUAGUAAGAUUAUUUAGGUAAUUUAACCUUUUAAAAAAAAUAAAAUUUCACUCUAGAUUUAAACUUUGGCACCUCAAGAGCCAACUGUCUCAACCUUUUCAACACAAUUAAAAUAUAAUUAACAAAAUUAUUUAUUUUUUAUUAUUGAUAAUAUUACUCAUUUCCAAAAAAAAAAAAUUGCUUAAAUAUUUUUAUUCUUUUCACCCACACAACCGGAAAAAAAUUAAGUGGGUAGCAGAAUUCAAUUAUAGGGGAAGUAAAAUACAAAUUUACUAUUAUAUUAAUUUGUAAUUUUUUAAAGGAUUUGUAAAGUAAUUUUACAGUUUUUUGGGUAAGGCUAUUAUUUGCCUCUUAGAUAACUUUUAGGUUUAUUUUUAUUCAUGUCACAAGUUAAUUCAACAUUAAUUUAAUUAAAAAAAAAUUUAUAUCACAUAAUAUAUAAUAGAUUAAUAUUUUUUUAAAUUUCAGAAAUAUAGGUAAUUGGUAAUAAUUUUUAACUUACACGAAAUCUCGAUUAUAUAUGUACUUGUUUUUUGUUCUUCCCAAUUUUCCAUACCGACAAUAUAUUUUGUAUAUGUGCAAUACAUACGUUUGCUUCAAUCAAUGAUUUCUUGGUUUGCUUUCCUUCCCAAACUAACUAACUAAAAGCAAUAGGUAAAAAUAAGUCCCUAGACUCUUAAUAAAUUUAAAAUUUAGUCUCUAUUUUUUUAUUUUUAGAAAUUUAAUCACUCUAUUUUUUAGAUUUUAAAAUUUAGAUCUAAUUGCUAAUAGUGUUAAAAUUAUUUUGUUAAAUUUAGGUUCAUUAAAACGUCAUUUUUUAGUUAUAUUGUUACCAAGUGAGUAUUUUAUUUAAAAAAAUGUCACAACAAUAAAUUUAACAAAAAAUUAAUAGUGUUAACAAUUAGACCUGAAUUCUUGAAAUUAAAAAAGCAAAGAGACUAAAUUUUUAAAAAUAAAAAUAAAAUAAAUAAAGUCUAAAUUUAUGAAGAAUACAAGGAUCUAUGAGAUAUUUUAACCAAAGAAAAAAAAGAUUAUAAGAAGCAAAACAAAUAGAGAAAUAAAUAGUGGUCAUUGGGUUCUUAAUGUUUCGAGCAUUUCCGGUUAAUUAAAGAGUUGUUGAGAAAUUGACGAAUGUGCAAUUUCUUAUUUAAAAUAAAAAUCCUUAAAUUAAUAUAUAUACAUAUAUAUAUUGUAAAAUGGAUGUCUAUAUAACUUCCAUAACCUUUAAGAAUUUUUUUUUUCUUGUUACUCUUGCAACCCUAAAAAUUUAUAGGGUACCUUAAUUAUAUAUUUGUAACCUAUGGUGAUUGAGGCUCUAUAAAUAGAGGUAAUGUAUAAACGUUGUCAGUACGGUUUUAUUCGAGAGUAAUAUGUUCUUAGUUUGUGUCAAAAUUUUGUUAGAAUCUAAUUAAGUAUAUUGAAAUUUAAUUGUUUGGUUUAAGGAUCAUUAGAACCAUGGCUAUUUGAUAUUUGUUUGGGAAUGAUCUCUUUCUCUUCAUUACAAAGGAUGCUUAUAAUCACUACUACUUAUCCAUAGUAAUGUAAGAAGUUUAAUCAACUUCUUUUGGAAUUUGAUUUGAUUUCUGUUAAAAAUUUCAAUUUAUAUAAUUCUCUAUUCGUAUCUCUAUGAAUUUAUAAAACCUUUCACGUAUUUAGUUAUUGGGAUUUUUAUGUGGAGCUAAAUAUUUUUUAUUUUUUUGUUCAUUUUUAAUAGAAUUGAUUGGUUUAAUUUUAAUUUUGAUUAAGAUAUAUGAUUAUUGUGGAAUGGGGGUAAAAGUUUUAACUUGUUAUGAAUUUUGAGAUAUUCACCCUGUUUGGAUAUUUUCAUGAUUAUUGUAAAAUUUGAAAUAAAAUUAUGCCAUAAGAGGUGGAGGUUAGAAAAUGUUUAUAUUUAAACUUUUAUAGUUGUAAAUUUACUUUAAUCAGACAUUAUAAUAUUUUGUAUUCUGUUGCAUUAUGGUAUAUAAAAAAAUAUUAUCUAAUUAUGGUGAUUUAUUAGUAACAUGAAUUUAUUAUUUGUUAUGUUUAAUAUAUAUUUUUUAUACCUAUUCAUUUUAUUUUUUACAUGAAUAAAUAAAGUUUUUGAAUAUCAGAAAAUUUUAUCGUUUAUGUUGAAAAGAAGGACAAAAUUGUAUAUUAUUUAAAAUAAAAUUAAACAUUCAUUAAGGUUAUAUAAUAAAAUGAUUAGAUGCUUCUAAAGAGCAAAUAAUAUUGCAUCAAACUGUAAAAUGCUUUUUAAGAGCUAAUAUUUUACCUCUUUGUGAUGCAAAUUUUUUUAAAAUAUAAUAUUAUUUUUCAGAUUAAGAAGAUAUAUAUUGAAGGAAACAUUUAUGUGUUUUACAUUAAAAUCAUAUAUAGAAAUAACAUGAGAUACUUGUGUAUUUGUAUUAUAUAUAUUCCCCAGAGGAAUACAUUACACUUAUAUGAUUGAAAUAUAUAAUGUGCUCCUACAAUAACAAUAUUAUGAAAAAGACUUUAAAAAAUGUUUUGAAACGAUCUUAUACCUUCUAGUGGCUAAGUAAAAUAAUAAGUUAUUGAUAAAAAACCAUGAAAUUCUUCCCUUAGUUUUGCUCCAUUCCCCGAAGUAAAUGUAGUAGUACAUAACAAUUAUGAAAAAUGAAAACAUAGAGAUCGUGAUUUUCGUUGUAAUUGAGGAUGUGGUUGGAGUCGUACUAAUAACUAUUAUCAUGGUGGUUAUAAUAGUGGUACUUCUAACCACUAGAAAAAAGAAUACUAAUGAAAAACAAGAAAAUUGUGGUCAAAAUAUUUGAAGGUUAUUGAAAAUCCAUGUUACCAAUGUAGUAUGAAAAUGCGUUGGUCACAUACCUGUCCUACUUUUAAACAUCUAGUGAAAUUUUAUCAAAGAAUCCAUUAAAAAAAGAAGAGAAACAAUAUAGAGACAAACUUUGUUAUCCAAAAUGAUGAAAUGGAUAAUAAUUUUUCGACAAAAGAUGAAAAUUUUUAUUAUGAUGCUAAAGCUAACCAUGUAUACAAGGAUGAUGAUUUUAAAGGCCUUAAUGGUAUAACUCGUUUGUAUGUUUUUAAUUUUCAUUCAUAAGAAAUAGUUUUAUUUAUUUUUUAUGACUAUUUGUAAUAUUUUUUAAACAAUGUUUUCCUUUAAAGAAAAAUAUGAUUUUUUUUAUUCUUUCGUUAAACUCAAGAACAAAGACAUAUGUCACGUAGAUUUUGCUACAACAUAUUCCAUUUUUAAAGGUAAAAGGUUAUUCUCAUUUAAUAUCAUAUUAGCUAAAUACUAAACUAAAGUAAUAAAAGGCUCUAGAAGAGCUAUGAUAAUAUUAUUUCAGGGGUAAAAUAUAUUACAGGUGAUGCAUUGUUUUCAUCUAAGUCUCAAAUAAAUUUAGCUUUAUAGAUAUUCGCUGAAAUAGAUACCAUAUCAAGGAUAAAUGAGAAAAAAAUAUAUUGAGUAUCUAUAUAUUGAAUGUGAAAAGAAAUAUGAUUUGGGAAGACUACCUGUUUUUUCAUCAGGUUUAUAUUAUACACAUAUUAGUGAAAUUAAGACACAUGUUGCUAUAAACCAAAAGUUUGUAGAACCCCAUACUUUUAUUUUUGUCAUGAUUGGUUAGGUCAUCUCAGAUAAUAUAUGGUGAGAAAAUUAAUCAAGAAUUCAUAUGGAUUUUCAUUAAAGAACCAAAAGAUUCUUUAAUUUAAAAGAAUUCUCAUGUGUUGCUUGUUCUUAAUGAAAAUUGAUUAUUAAAAACUCAUUAGCUAAAGUUGAGAUUUAAUGUCUUGCAUUUCUUAAAUGAAUAUGGGCUCAUUCAUCCACCAUGUGGAUGGUUUUGAUAGUAUAUGAUUUUGGUAGAUGUAUCUACAAAAUAAUCACAUAUGUGAUAUCAACUCACAAACUAUAAUUUGCAAGAUUGCUUCUUUAAAUAAUUAAUUUCAUACAAUUCAUUUUGCUAAUGUUGGUGAGUUUAUGUCCCAAGUUUUCAAUGAUUAUUAUAUGUUGAUUAAGAUAAAAGUUGAACAUCCUGUAGCUUAUGUUCACGCAUAAAACGAUUUAGCUAAAUUGUUUAUUAAACGCCGCCAACUAAUAGCUAGGCCAUUACUUAUGAGAACAAAACUCCCUAUUACAACUUAGGGAUAUGCUAUUUUGCAUGCAGCAGUACUUGUGCGCAUCAAGCCAACAAAUUAUAAUAAAUACCCCCUAUUACAAUUGGCUUUUGGUCAUGAGCCAAAUAGUUCUCAUCUUAGAAUUUUUGAAUGUACGGUAUAUGUUUCAAUUGCUCCACCAAAACGCACAAAGAUGAUUGAGUCCUCAUAGAAGGUUGGGAAUGUACAUUGAUAUAAAUCUCCUUCUGUUAAUAAAUAUCUUUGAGAUAUUAAUUGGAGAUUUAGUUAUGACAUAAGUUGCCAAUUAUUAUGAGAUAGUUUUCCCAACAUUAGGGGGAGAGAGUAAAAAACUGGAUGAAAAAAAUACUUAGAAUGAAUUAUCAUUAUCUAAAAUCCUUGUAAAAAGCAAUGUGAACUAGAAGUUCAGUAGAUAAUUUAUUUUACAAAAAAGCUAUCAGAUUCAUUUACUUACCUAAAGAGAAUUACAAAAUCUCACAUACCAGCUGAAAAUGCUCCAAUACAAAUUGAUGUCCCAAUAGGGUAAACUGUUAGUGUAAAAGAAAGUAAUCCACGUCUAAAGCAAGAAAGAUCAGUCGAUUCCAAAGAUAAAAGUUCUCGUAAAAAGAAAGGAGAAAAUAUUCAAGAUGGUCAUAUUGUGAAGACAAGUGCCCAAUAAAAGGCUAAAGAUAUAACUAAUAAUAAUAACCCAAAAGAGAUUCAAGUACCUGAAAAUGGUGAUAACGAAGAGAUCUAGAUAAAUUAUAUUACUUCAAGAAAAAAAUAGAACUGAAAAUAUAUAGUUGUCGAUAACAAAUUUGCUUAUAAUGUUUCUAUUGAAAUAUCAAAAGAAAACCAGGAUCUUGAGCUUAGAUCAAUUGAGGAAUGUAGAAAUAAAAAAGAUUGGCCAAAAUAGAAAGACACAAUUCAAGUAGAAUUGAAUUCACUUUCUAAACGUGAGGUUUUUGGACAUGUAGUUCAAACACAUAAAGAUUUAAAUUUGGUAAGAUAUAAAUGACUAUUUGUGCGAAAACGAAAUGAGAAAAAUGAAGUUAUAAGAUAUAAAGCACAACUUAUAGCACAAUGAUUUUUACAAAAGGCUCAACUUGAUUACGAAGAGGCAUAUUCUCCUGUGGUGGAUACAAUCAUGUUUAGAUACCUUAUUAGUAUGGUAGCACGUGAAAAACUUGACAUGCGUCUAAUGGAUGUUGUUACAGCCUAUUUGUGUGGUACACUUAAUAAUGAAAUUUAUAUGAAAAUCCCUAAAGGAUUUAAAAUCCUAGAAAGAUAUAGAGUUUCUCAAAAAAAUUGUUCGAUCAGAUUAAAGAAAAAUUUAUAUGGAUUAAAAUAAUUUGGACGUAUGUGGUAAAAUAGUCUUAGUGAAUAUUUGUUAAAAAAAGGUUAUAAAAAUCGUCCAAUUUAUCCAUGUGUUUUUAUAAAAAUGUCCGGAUUAAAUUUUGUGAUAAUUGUUGUUUAUGUUGAUUAACUAAAUAUUAUUGGAACUCCUGAAUAGCUUUAAAAUGUAGUAAAUUAUUUAAAGAAAGAAUUUAAGAUGAAAGAUUUUGGAAAAACAAAGUUUUGUCUUUGCCUGCAGAUCGAGCAUUUAACAUAUGGAAUUCAUUUCCAUUAGUCCACUUAUACGAAAAAUAUCUUAAAGAAAUUUUACAUAGAUAAAGCACAUCUCUUGAAUACCCUGAUGGUUAUAUGAUCGUUAGAUGUGAAUAAAGAUAAAUUUUGUCCUUGUGAGAAUGAUGAAGAGCUUCUUAGUCUUGAAGCACCAUAUCUAAAUACCAUAAGGGUAUUGAUGUAUCUUGCAAACAACAGAAGACUUGAUAUUGCUUUCGUUGUAAGCUUGUUAGUAAGAUUUAGUUCUUCUCCAACACGUAGACAUUGGAAUGCGUCGACUCAAAGAUGUAAUGUGAUGUUGUCAUUUGGGAGAGUCAAAUACACGUUGCGCUCUUUUAUUUUAACUAAGGUUUUGCCCCAUUGGGUUUUUCUAAUAAAGGUUUUUAAUGAGACAAAUUGUAAUAAGAGAUUGUGUACUCUUUUUCCUUCAUUAGGUUUUUAUCUGACAGAAUUUUUCCUAAUAAGGUUUUAACGAGGCACACUUUCAUUGAUGGACAUUGAAGGAGGAGUGUUGUAAAAUGGAUGUCCAUAUAACUCCCAUAAUCCUCAAGAAUUCAUUUUCUUGUAAUCCUUAAAAAUUUAUAGGUUAUGUUAAUUGUAUGUUUGUAACCUAUGGUGAUUGAGGCGCUAUAAAUAGAGGAUAGUUAUAACCUUUUUUAAUAUGCCAAGUGAAAGUUGAAUCGUAAUUUCAUUUCUUUGUCUUUUUUUUCUCUCAAUCUUUGUAUUCUGUUUUUAGUUUUAUAAUAAUAUCUAUAUUUAUAAAUUUGCAUUUAAUGCAUUGAUAAUACAGAUAUAAAAAAAAUUCUUUAAAUAAUAAAAAUAUUAAUUAGCACCCACAAUUAAUAAAAUAUAAAUGAAGAAUGUUUAUAUGGUUUAGUUUUUUUUUUUAACUUUUUAAUUACCACACGUUUUUUUAAACUUUUGUAUUAUGAUAAAUUAUUAUUUAUAAAUUAAAAUAUUUUUAAUACAAAUACAAUUUAUGAAUAAUGUAAAUAAUAACUAGAGUAUUAAGAUGUUAAAAUUGUAGUAGGGUAGGGUUACAAUUUUUAGCAUUGAUGGUUGGUUAAUAUAUAUUAUUUAAAAGUGCAUAUCCUUUUAUGUUAAUGUUUUGUAUUAAAAAUGUUGGCACAAACUUUGCAUGAACUGAUUGGAAAGGGAAGAAGGUAGUACCAUAUAAUGCUCUACUCUCUUUAUAUUAAUACAUUUCGUAUUUUAUAGACCGAUGCUCAACUUUUCUUUUAAUUAAAACAAUGUAAUGUCUAAUUUUUUUCAAUUUAGUACUUUUUUUAAUUAUUGUUUUAUGUGUAUGUAUAUCAAAGUAAUUUUUUUUAUGAAAUCUAAUAACCCUAAUUUCCAAUAAUACUAUUACAUAGACAAACUUAUAAAAAGAAAUAAUCAUGGAGGUUGAAAAUGAAGGCUAACUGAUUGGGGGUGAGUUAGUUGGGGCGAGCUGUUUGCAUGGGAGAGAGAUAAAAAAAAACAGUAGAUAUGGAAUAUAUUUAAUCACGAAUAAUACAUGUCGGAAUAAUUACUAUUAGAAUUAAUUUAAUAUAAAGAUUUGUUGAAAUUUUAAAUAUUAAAAAUUAUUAAAUGAUGUUUUUAAAAAAAUUAAUAACGAUUAAUUAAUUAAAUUAAACUCAAAUGUUUUCUAGUUAAGUAAAAAAUGAUAUAUUAAAGGGGGAAAAAUUUGACAGUUACAAGGAGAGACUUGCUGAAAUCCAUUGAUAACUAAACUAACAAACUAGAGUCGGGCACGAUAUAUCCCACAAGGCUGGCUGGCUGACAGGCAGGCAGUCAGGCACGCAGGAAACAAUCAAAGCCAUCCAUCCUCUCUCUUCCUUUCUCCCUCUUUCACUAUCAUUACCACCCAUUUUUGAACCCAUUUCUUCCCUUUCAAAGGUUUGUAUCUAUUCUGCAGCAAUCCAACAUAUACAAUGUUUCUUCUUUUCUUCUUAUACUAAUUCAUCUUGUUUUCUAAAGGGAUACUUUGAUACCAGAAAGAAGAACAACAAUGAAGGUGUACGAGGAGAGUGGUUGCUUUGAUCCUCACUCCAUCCCAGAUUGUCAGGAACUGAUGGGGUUGCCAGGGCCCACCCCCACCAACUGUCACAACAGUUUGGAAGACACCCUUAAUGUCUCUUCUUACAAUCACCAUCACCAUGAGGAUGCCUCCGCCGCCUUGGAUAUGGAACCCCACCAACACUACUUGCUUGAUAAUACUACCAACAGUCAUUCCCAUUUGAUUCCCUAUCUAACUCAGGACCUUCCUUAUGAUCAGUCCCAUUGGGAAAGUUUCAAUGUGCUGCCAUCUUCUUCAUCCCCAGAAGCUGAUGCUGCCGCCACCGCUGCCGCCGGUGCUUACACUACUACACCUGACCUUCUCAGCCUUUUCCAUUUACCUAGAUGCUCUUUCCUCCCUAAUCCCUCCAUUUCCUUUGAAACCACACCUGGCUCCCCUUCUGUUGUGUACGACCCACUUUUCCAUCUCAACCUGCCUCCUCAACCCCCUGUUUUCAGGG